Long non-coding RNA from Oncorhynchus keta (chum salmon), 1163 nucleotides. RefSeq lists it as uncharacterized. The transcript is spliced from 3 exons. Lineage: Eukaryota; Metazoa; Chordata; Actinopteri; Salmoniformes; Salmonidae. The record is from RefSeq and is a predicted model, not a curated record.
CAUUAGCGAGAAACAAGAACGAUAACCUGUCUGUCACAUUCACAAACACGACCAGGCUAGGGGGCAGGAGUGUCUCUAUUAAAAGAUGAGGGUAUUUGAUUAGAGUUUUGUUAUUGUUAUUUUGUUAUCUGACCAUGUCAUAGAUACAUUCAUUGUGUUGUUCGUCAUCUACUACAUAGCUUUGAUCAUUUAGGCCUAGGCUACUCGGAGUGCAACACACAAUUUGUGCGCUGUGACGUCAAGCGAAGUUGAGUUGGGCAGUUAGGGGCUACGUUAGGCCAAUCUAUAUGCUCUCAGUUGUACGGUAUCCAUAUUCUGAUAUACUCACUGACACAACUUCCAUGGAUGUGUGACGCUGUCUUAAUAUGGACACCGUGCAGAGUUGAACUGGUGACUGUGGAGACAUCUAGUGUGGAAUUGAAUAAGAAAUGGACUAAGAAGUGAGGCAAGUUACGCAAUCUAACUCUCUCCCCAAUAAUUAUUCACAGGCUAAUUAUCCAAAAUGUCUGACAGUCCCUCUCAGUAGAGGAAGUCCCUUCCUCUGCCAACGCUGUGUCUCGAAAUCUCAGAGCAGAACUAAAUGCUAAACGCCCACUUUUAUGGAGAAGAGGAUGGAUGGAGGAGAUGAUGGGAGUUCUGGGUUUCUCUCUGCCACCAGCCUCAGUCAUCCACACAGCCAGAUCGCCACGACCACCUCGAGGACACGCUACUGCCCAAUCACCACUGGGCCCAGUGGGUUGGCAUGCCAACCAACACCAUACGUCUUUGUGUUACUGUUUGUUUCUGGUCGUCUGAUUCUACAACAGAGCUUGAUGCAAUUUAAAAUCAAAUUUGAUACAUUCAUAUGUACAAGAUUGGCAUAAACCCCUGUUAUAUUCUCAUUACCCCGGUUGUUGCUUUCGGGAUAGGAAUGAAAUGACAUCAACUACAUUGAGAUUGUAUUGCUUGUGUUUUGAUUAUCUACAUUAAAUAAGUGUGAAAGUAAAAACAGCCUGUGUAAAUUAAACAUGCUGAAAUAAAAUAAAAGAUGUUGUUUGCAUCUCAAAUGGCAUCCUAUUUCCUAUAUAGUGCACUACCUUUGACUAGAGACUGGGAAUAGUGUUCCAUUUGGGACGCUACUAUUGAGUCAUACAGUCUGUAUUGAUCAGGGCAAUCUGUCGCAU